Molecule: transfer RNA, 88 nt
Filed under: Zea mays
Lineage: Eukaryota; Viridiplantae; Streptophyta; Magnoliopsida; Poales; Poaceae
Rfam family: tRNA
About the family: Transfer RNA (tRNA) molecules are approximately 80 nucleotides in length. Their secondary structure includes four short double-helical elements and three loops (D, anti-codon, and T loops).
Source: Rfam by way of RNAcentral
CCGACCUUAGCUCAGUUGGUAGAGCGGAGGACUGUAGUGGAUUGCAGAUGAAAUCCUUAGGUCGCUGGUUCGAAUCCGGCAGGUCGGA